Long non-coding RNA from Betta splendens (Siamese fighting fish), 1561 nucleotides. Lineage: Eukaryota; Metazoa; Chordata; Actinopteri; Anabantiformes; Osphronemidae. The record is from Ensembl.
GUUACAAUGAGACGCUGUUUUCCAGGAGACAGUGAAUUUCUGCUUUUUCUGCUGCUUUGUCCUCUUCUGCAGUUUAUGCAGUGACCCACUUUGACCACACGAGGGCGCUGUUCGGCGCUUUCACUCUCUGCUAGUUGAAAUGGUUUAAUUGGAACCUGACCAGUCUGACAAGCAAAGCUGACAUGACGCCUCACUCAUCCGGACCCUAUGUGGUUCUGGAUCGGACUGCGCUUCUCUUUGUGUUCAUCAGGCGUCUCGCAUCCAGAGCGCUUCCACCUCGGCCACGCCCACCCGUGCAUAUUUUAUGCUAAUGAGCAGGUGCUGCGCUUCUUGAGGCGCGCGGCGGCCGCUCGGGAUGAGCCGGAUGGAGCAGCGCAGGGAGCAGCGGGAGUCCAGCUGCAGGGGUUUCAUCAGGUGAUGCUGACUGCGGGUCCGCGAACCACGAAUGGAUCCCUCCUCAAGACGCCUUCACCUCAUAUCGCUGUAUUUUAUUCUGAUUUAUCAAGCACAUUUUUCCAGGGCUGUUGAGAGAGUAAACGUUUCUAACUGGGAUGAAUUUACCAGGGGCAGCAGGAUAAAGCAGCAGAAAUGGGACACCGCUUCCCAGGGAGAGCAGGUAGGCAGCUGCAUUGAUCAUUGAUGCUGAUGGAGCUGCUACAGGCGGCAAACACACAGUCAACACUCGCAGUGAAACACGGAGCAGGGGAACCAGCGCACCAACCUCACGCCGACUUUCCUCACUUUGUUUCUUGCACGUUUAGAUUCACGGAGCAAAUCAUCGAAUGCAUAGACUGGAAACGGACAUUGUUCUUUUCAUAUUCAUAGAAUCAGGUCCGUGAGAGAGUCUCAGCAGAAAUAGCGGCUCUGUUGUCAGGUUUGGCCUUUUGUCCAAGAGAAUUGGGUCCAAACCAUACGAGCUAGCGAACUAACAAAGCGAUUGUCAGCAAAGGUCAAAGGUCAGAGAAGCAGAUCUCAUGUCAGAUCAGUCAGUGCAGUGUAACAUAUGGGUGUUUAAGUUUCAGCAUCACUGGUCAGUGGUUAAUAAUUCAUAGUGACAUGCUCCUCAGACCCCAACUGUUCACUGCUACCAUCUGCUCUGUUCAUGCUGAGAUGAAAGCCUUGGUUUGAGAGCUCAGGUGUCCAUCAGGCCCAAAGUCCAGGAACAAUGUCCGACUCAUACCUAUAUUAUUAACCCGGUCCUCCGUGUGCCUCUUCCCCUGUUCAAACCUUCGUCUGCAUCUUCUGCAGCAGCAGUUUGUAAAGCAAACGACGCGUAGACGCUCACUUGUUUCAGCAAACAUCUCAAGCUCAGAUCUGUAAAUGCUAAAUGCCAGUAAGGUGAUGAUGGGAUGGAAGCUGUGCUGGAGUCAUUCAGGACGUCCACCCUCCACUGUCUCGCUUCCAUCCUCACUAAUUUGCACCCUGUUCGGCUACAGUUUGGCUAAUUCUCGGAUGAAUUCUUGUCCCAGAAAAGACACAGACUUCUACGUGUCUGAUGUUUUAAUCAAAUCUUAAAUUUUUUACUAAUCUGUCAUCGGAUAACUGAGCUGCUUUUGCAGGU